GAUGAACGCUUGCGACAGGCCUAACACAUGCAAGUCGAGGGGCAGCGGGGUGUAGCAAUACACUGCCGGCGACCGGCGCACGGGUGCGUAACGCGUAUGCAACCUACCCUAGGGCGGGGGACAGCCCGGCGAAAGCCGGAUUAAUACCGCACGAAGCAGUUACCUCGCAUGAGGAGAUUGUGAAAGGAUUUAUCCACCUUGGGAGGGGCAUGCGUUCCAUUAGGCAGUUGGCGGGGUAACGGCCCACCAAACCGACGAUGGAUAGGGGUUCCGAGAGGAAGGUCCCCCACACCGGUACUGAGACACGGACCGGACUCCUACGGGAGGCAGCAGUGAGGAAUAUUGGUCAAUGGGCGAGAGCCUGAACCAGCCAAGUCGCGUGAAGGAAGAAGGACCUAUGGUUCGUAAACUUCUUUUUGAGGGGGAUAAAAGAGGGGACGAGUCCCUUAUUGCAGGUACCCUCAGAAUAAGCAUCGGCUAACUCCGUGCCAGCAGCCGCGGUAAUACGGGGGAUGCAGGCGUUAUCCGGAUUUAUUGGGUUUAAAGGGUGCGUAGGUGGGAGCAUACGUCAGCGGUGAAAGGCAGUCGCUUAACGACUGGAUUGCCGUUGAAACGGAGUUUCUUGAGAGAGCGCGAGGUAUGCGGAAUGCGUGGUGUAGCGGUGAAAUGCUUAGAUAUCACGCAGAACUCCGUUUGCGAAGGCGGCAUACCGGCGCUCAUCUGACACUGAGGCACGAAAGGCGUGGGGAUCAAACAGGAUUAAGAUACCCUGGUAGUCCACGCCGUAAACGAUGAUUACUCGGAGUUUGAGUGUUAAUAAAGUCAAGCUCCCAAGCGAAAGCGUUAAGUAAUCCACCUGGGGAGUACGCCGGCAACGGUGAAACUCAAAGGAAUUGACGGGGGCCCGCACAAGCGGAGGAACAUGUGGUUUAAUACGAUGAUACGCGAGGAACCUUACCCGGGUUUGAACGCAGGCGGACGGAAGGGUGAAAGUUCUCUUCCAGCAAUGGCCACCUGCGAGGUGCUGCAUGGUUGUCGUCAGCUCGUGCCGUGAGGUGUCGGCUCAAGUGCCAUAACGAGCGCAACCCCUGCCAUCGGUUGCCAGCAGGUAAAGCUGGGGACUCCGAUGGGACUGCCGGCGUAAGCCGCGAGGAAGGCGGGGAUGACGUCAAAUCAGCACGGCCCUUACAUCCGGGGCGACACACGUGUUACAAUGGCGGGGACAGAGGGCAGCCAUCCGGCAACGGAGCGCUAAUCCCUCAAACCCCGUCCCAGUUCGGAUCGGAGUCUGCAACUCGACUCCGUGAAGUCGGAUUCGCUAGUAAUCGCGCAUCAGCCAUGGCGCGGUGAAUACGUUCCCGGGCCUU
Molecule: ribosomal RNA, 1367 nt
Filed under: uncultured bacterium
Lineage: Bacteria
Description: bacterial SSU rRNA
Rfam family: Bacterial small subunit ribosomal RNA
Source: RNAcentral